AAAAGAGCAUGGGAACAGAAGAUAGGAAAACAAUACAGACAGCUAUUUCAAUGAUUCUUUUCUGUAAAGGGGCACAGAGAAAAGGCAUUGGUGCUGGAAGGGAUUUGCAUGUUCAAGAAAGAGUUUUAUUUAAAAGAUAUUAAGGCAGAGAGCAGUUAAAUAACUUGCCAAAAAUUCUCAACAGGUGAGUACCAAGAGCUGAGAUGAGAAAUCAGUUUAGAAAUCAAUCUAGCUUCCCCCAGGAACAAGUCUCACAGCUCCCUUGUAUCAACCUCUUUUUUUCUUUCUCUCUUUUUUUUUUUUUUUUUUUUGUAGGGACAAGGUCUUGCUAUGUUGCCCGGCCUGGUCUCAAACUCCUGGGCUUAAGCAACCCUCCCCAGUCCUGCCACCAUAGCCUCCCAAAGCCCUGGGAUUACAGGUGUAAGCUGCAAGAACUUCUUGAAAGGCAAUUCAACAUAGUGUUUAAAAGCAUGCAGGAGUCCUGGGUUCAAAUCUCCAUUCCAGCUCUAUCCAGGCCUCUGAGCCCAAGCUAAGCCAUCAUAUCCCCUGUGACCUGCACAUAUACAUCCAGAUGGCCUGAAGCAACUGAAGAUCCACAAAAGAAGUGAAAAUUGCCAGUUCCUGCCUUAACUGAUGACAUUCCAGCAUUGUGAUUUGUUCCUGCCCCACUCUAACUGAUCAAUUAACUUUGUGACAAUACACCCUCCCCACCCUUGAGAAGGCACUUUGUAAUAUCCUACCCCAACCCACUGCCCUUAAGAAGGUACUUUGUAAUAUUCUCCCCACCCUUGAGAAUGUACUUUGUAAGAUCCACCCGCUGCCCACAAAAAAAUUGCUCCUAACUCCACUGCCUAUCCCAAACCUAUAAGAACUAAUGAUAAUCCCACCACCCUUUGCUGACACUCUUUUUGGACUCCGGCUGCCUGCACCCAGGUGAUUAAAAAGCUUUAUUGCUCACACAAAGCCUGUUUGGUCGUCUCUUCACACGGACACACAUGACAUUUGGUGCCGAAGAGCUGGGACAGGAGGACUCCUUCAGGAGACCAGUUCCCUUGUCCUCGCCCUCACUCCAUGAGGAGAUCCACCUAUGACCUCGGGUCCUCAGACCAACCAGCCCAAGGAACAUCUCACCAAUUUCAAAUCAGCCAAAAUCCACAGUGAUCCACAUAAUACUCAGGAAUCACCCAGAAGGGAUUUCUAUCUGAAAGGAGAAAGAAGCUCUGGGGCAUGAAUAUACGUUGUCUUGUAAAAAAAUAAAUCAGUAAUUCAUGUGUGUAUAUUUUAUACUCAAUGGGAAAAAAUGUUUUAUUUAAAAAAACACUCAAUAUUUUACAUGACAUUGUGAAAAGGCAGCACGGAAUUACUCAUUUGCUUCCUUUUUUAAAGUUUUAGAUGAAAAAU
Molecule: long non-coding RNA, 1401 nt
Filed under: Homo sapiens (human)
Lineage: Eukaryota; Metazoa; Chordata; Mammalia; Primates; Hominidae
Description: HSALNT0244361
Source: RNAcentral